RNAcentral lists this ribosomal RNA (849 nucleotides) under uncultured bacterium. Its description in RNAcentral is "bacterial SSU rRNA". It matches the Rfam family "Bacterial small subunit ribosomal RNA", at positions 79 to 911 of the family's 1533-position model. The record is from RNAcentral.
CUUGCUUCUCUUGAGAGCGGCGGACGGGUGAGUAAUGCCUAGGAAUCUGCCUGGUAGUGGGGGAUAACGUUCGGAAACGGACGCUAAUACCGCAUACGUCCUACGGGAGAAAGCAGGGGACCUUCGGGCCUUGCGCUAUCAGAUGAGCCUAGGUCGGAUUAGCUAGUUGGUGGGGUAAUGGCUCACCAAGGCGACGAUCCGUAACUGGUCUGAGAGGAUGAUCAGUCACACUGGAACUGAGACACGGUCCAGACUCCUACGGGAGGCAGCAGUGGGGAAUAUUGGACAAUGGGCGAAAGCCUGAUCCAGCCAUGCCGCGUGUGUGAAGAAGGUCUUCGGAUUGUAAAGCACUUUAAGUUGGGAGGAAGGGUUGUAGAUUAAUACUCUGCAAUUUUGACGUUACCGACAGAAUAAGCACCGGCUAACUCUGUGCCAGCAGCCGCGGUAAUACAGAGGGUGCAAGCGUUAAUCGGAAUUACUGGGCGUAAAGCGCGCGUAGGUGGUUUGUUAAGUUGGAUGUGAAAUCCCCGGGCUCAACCUGGGAACUGCAUUCAAAACUGACUGACUAGAGUAUGGUAGAGGGUGGUGGAAUUUCCUGUGUAGCGGUGAAAUGCGUAGAUAUAGGAAGGAACACCAGUGGCGAAUGCGACCACCUGGACUAAUACUGACACUGAGGUGCGAAAGCGUGGGGAGCAAACAGGAUUAGAUACCCUGUUAGUUCCACGCCGUAUACUGAUGUCAACUUAACCGUUGGAAGCCUUUGAGCUUUUAGUGGGCGCAGCUAAACGCAUUUAAGUUUGACCGCCCUGGGGAGUACGGCCCGCAAAGGUUUAAAACUUCAAAUGAAUU